AAACUAACAGCUGGCAUGGGAAAGACCCUGAUCGAAAAGGGGGCUCACCCGGAACAAGGCUAUUCCCCGCACUUUGGGUGUGCUGACACCUACGAUGUCCCCAAAUGUGGAAUACUCGACUGCAGAAUGUGUGGUAGUGCGGGGGACUGCGUUCACGAA
Molecule: small nuclear RNA, 159 nt
Organism: Amblyraja radiata (thorny skate)
Lineage: Eukaryota; Metazoa; Chordata; Chondrichthyes; Rajiformes; Rajidae
Product: U1 spliceosomal RNA
Exons: 1
Source: RefSeq, a predicted model, not a curated record